This 305-nucleotide long non-coding RNA is filed under the name Mus spicilegus (steppe mouse). RNAcentral describes it as "lncRNA (ENSMSIG00000000831.1)". Lineage: Eukaryota; Metazoa; Chordata; Mammalia; Rodentia; Muridae. The record is from RNAcentral.
CAGUUUUCUCCCACAGUCUAUGGAUGGAGAAUCUGUUUUCACAGAGGUUCUUACUGCGGGUGAUAUGUAAGGAAGAAUUCACCAGUUCCUGAUUUCUAAAAGAUCCAAAGGGCCAGAGGGACACUGUCUUCCAUGGGAAAGGAAGCAUACAAAAGGAACAGAAACUUCUCUGCAAAGCAUCAGUACAAACCCACUGGCCUGGAAUGAUAUUUAUCCUCUUAAUUAUGUUUUGCAAAAGACUGAUAAUAAAAGCAAUUUUCUAAGGAAAGGCUAAGAAAGUGUUUCAGAAUAAAAAAAGACUAAAG